Molecule: long non-coding RNA, 1571 nt
Filed under: Anas platyrhynchos platyrhynchos (common mallard)
Lineage: Eukaryota; Metazoa; Chordata; Aves; Anseriformes; Anatidae
Description: lncRNA (ENSAPLG00000022495.1)
Source: RNAcentral
CACCUUCAGUGCCCAGGAGGGACAAAUGGUUUUGGUUCAGUGUGCCAUUGAUGGGCGUUCUCCCGUUACAAGAAUUGUCUUCUGCAAGGAUGGGGUGGAAACAUCCAGCCUGAAGGCCAUUCAGGGGCAGCUGACCUACAACAUGAUCAUGAAUGUCUCACUGGGAAGUGCAGGCAAGUACACGUGUGGGUACCAGCUCAAGGAUCAGAGCAACCAAGUGAAGAACUCUGCCCUCAGUGUCCCCCAGGACUUGGAAAUCACAGGUAAGAUGCGAAACCAGAGCAGGGGAAUGUGCUCCAUGAAACAUAAGAGUGAUGGAUGCUGUAUAUAAUCCACAGGUCCACCUCAGCCAUCCUAUUUUUAAUCCCUCACAAAAUCACUUAGACACUGGAUCCAUGGGGGUCCAUGCUGGCAGAGCAGUUGCAGGCACUUUCACUCCUCCCCUGGGGAUGGUGCUGGCUGUUGUUGGAGGGAUGUGCCCAUGGGGCUGUGUGUCCCCUGCCCCACACAGACGUGCUCAGGGCUGUUGUAGGAGAUGAGAUCAAUAUGUGCCUAGUCAGGGAAGGAGGUGGCAGUGAUGCAGAUGCUCAUCCUGUCCAUUUCUCCUGCCAGGCAGUGUGGCCGGCUCCCCUGCAUAAUAACAGCCCCAAGGGAGUGACUCCCUCCUGCAUCCCCAAAGACAAUAACAUGGGGCUCAGGUCUGCCAGGCUGCCGUCCCCAGGGCAUGGGGUCAUGCAGGAACUUCAUCAAGCAGGAGGUCUGCCAGCUGCACGGGCACAUCCUGCUCCCUGCCUCUCCCCAUCACACCCCGCUGCCUUCACACCCUCUGUCCCCCAGCUCCACAUGCCCGGAUUCUGCACACCCUCCCCACAGGCAUGGUGCUGGCAGUGGCGGCCGUCGGCCUCGUCCUCCUGGCUGCAGGCAGCUGGUUUGCCAUCAGGAAAGGCAGCAGCACGUUGACAGCCCACAGACGGAAGACACCAACUAUGGUGACAUCCAGUACUCCACCAUCGCCCAUGUUCGACGGGACAGGGUGAGUCAUGGCACAGCUGUGCACACCUCCUUUCUGCACUCCUGCAGCCUGGUGCACGCUCAUUGUGCAGGGCUCACAGUCAGCAGCUGAAGUAACAGGGUUUCUUUUCUCCCUAAAGCCUCGUCCCAUGCAGCACAUGAGAAACACCACGACAUAUGCCAUGGUGACCCGCACCCAGACCCGAUAGCGCUGCCACAGGGCAAGGGCACAGGAGCCUUGUCCACAGCUGCCUUUGCUCUCCUGCAGAGGGCUCCUGCAGCCAUAACGUGGGGCUGGGGGUUGCACUUUGGUCUUCUUUGGGGUUUGUUAUCACAGGGAAGGGCUGUGAGUGUCUAGCCAAGUCGAUGUAGGACUCAUACCUCCAUCUACAAUACAUUAAUACUUCCAAAAUAUAUGAGCUAUACCAAAUCUUACUGUGAGUGUAUUGAUUUUUUCUCAAAAGAAGAAAACCUCUCGCUGUGCUCAGUGGAUGAUGUGUACACAUAAGUUGCAUUAUAAUGUCAUGGGGGUAUUAUUCUACCCACCCACGGAGAUGCCC